Molecule: long non-coding RNA, 854 nt
Organism: Oncorhynchus keta (chum salmon)
Lineage: Eukaryota; Metazoa; Chordata; Actinopteri; Salmoniformes; Salmonidae
Exons: 3
Source: RefSeq, a predicted model, not a curated record
UGUUGCUGUGUUAGAACCAGAUAACCAGUCCUCGGUGUUGCUGUGUUAGAACCAGAUAACCAGUCCUCAGUGUUGCUGUGUUAGAACCAGAUAACCAGUCCUCAGUGUUGCUGUGUUAGAACCAGAUAACCAGUCCUCAGUGUUGCUGUGUUAGAACCAGAUAACCAGUCCUCAGUGUUGCUGUGUUAGAACCAGAUAACCCCGUCCUCAGUGUUGCUGUGUUAGAACCAGAUAACCAGUCCUCAGUGUUGCUGUGUUAGAACCAGAUAACCCCGUCCUCAGUGUUGCUGUGUUAGAACCAGAUAACCAGUCCUCAGUGUUGCUGUGUUAGAACCAGAUAACCAGUCCUCAGUGUUGCUGUGUUAGAACCAGAUAACCAGUCCUCAGUGUUGCUGUGUUAGAACCAGAUAACCAGUCCUCAGUGUUGCUGUGUUAGAACCAGAUAACCCCAUCCUCAGUGUUGCUGUGUUAGAACCAGAUAACCCCGUCCUCAGUGUUGCUGUGUUAGAACCAGAUAACCAGUCCUCAGUGUUGCUGUGUUAGAACCAGAUAACCAGUCCUCAGUGUUGCUGUGUUAGAACCAGAUAACCAGUCCUCAGUGUUGCUGUGUUAGAACCAGAUAACCCCAUCCUCAGUGUUGCUGUGUUAGAACCAGAUAACCCCGUCCUCAGUGUUGCUGUGUUAGAACCAGAUAACCAGUCCUCAGUGUUGCUGUGUUAGAACCAGAUAACCCCGUCCUCAGUGUUGCUGUGUUAGAACCAGAUAACCAGUCCUCAGUGUUGCUGUGUUAGAACCAGAUAACCAGAUAGAAUAAUGAACCAGGGUCAUAUUCAUUAUGGCACAAAGUAGCAAAA